GUGCUCACUUCGGCAGCACAUGUACUAAAAAUGGCAACUAUACAGAGAAGGUUAGCAUGGCCUCUGUGCAAGGAUAACCUGCAAACUCGUGAAGCAUUCCAUAUUUUU
This 108-nucleotide small nuclear RNA is filed under the name Carlito syrichta (Philippine tarsier). Lineage: Eukaryota; Metazoa; Chordata; Mammalia; Primates; Tarsiidae. The record is from RNAcentral.